This 3184-nucleotide long non-coding RNA is filed under the name Mus musculus (house mouse). Its description in RNAcentral is "long non-coding RNA chr4:83458775-83461959". The record is from RNAcentral. Lineage: Eukaryota; Metazoa; Chordata; Mammalia; Rodentia; Muridae.
UUUUUUUUUUUUUUUUUUUUUUUUUGGUUUUUUGAAACAGGAUUUCUCUGUAUAGCCCUGGCUGUCCUGGAACUCACUUUGUAGACCAGGCUGGCCUCGAACUCAGAAAUUUGCCUGCCUCUGCCUCCCGAGUGCUGGGAUUAAAGGCGUGUGCCACCACACCCAGCUCGAGUUUAUUUUUAAAUAUACUUGAGUUCACACAAAGGCUGUACAAGACCACAGCAUGUACAUAUGAAGCAGCAGUUUAUCCAACACAUUUGGAACCUGCAGUGUUGUAUCUUGACUAUAGGGCUCAAUUUAAUAUGCAUCUUAAAUGCACUGCCGUCAUGGCAGUUUUAUUCAUUGACACGUACAAAGCAUAGCAUAGGUGUGUCAGCCAUCUAUUUGGAUAGUCUGCUAUUGACUGUCAUCACUGUUCCUGACUCCAUUUAGAUGUUACCUCUCACUAGCCAACCGUGUUCUUACAGCACAGUAGAAUACAGCUUGUAUCAACAAACACAAUACCACUCCCAACCGUGUUCUUACAGCACAGUAGAAUACAGCUUGUAUCAACAAACACAAUACCACUCGAUUAACAGUGUAUAUAACAUGCUGGGGGUUUAAGUGACAUUGAAAACAUUGGCCACAAUACCUAUUGGCUCUGAUCAGAAAGAAAGCAAGCAACAGCAUUUUCAGCUCUGCCUAGGAUGCAGCAAUUCUGGUCAUAUGCUAACUAUACGUUGUAUUUUUUAGCUAAAGCAAAUGAGGGAGGGAGGGAGGGAGGGAGGGAAUUGGCUGGUUCUCUAACAUUCUGAUUUCCCUCAAGAGUUAACAAAUGUUUUUGUUAGAAGUUUCCUUCAUAAAGCUCAUCAUAACAUUCUUACAGGUCAUAUACAAGUACUCUGUGUUAAUGGCAUCCCCAUUGCUACUACUAUAAUAUUUCAAGGUCAAUGGAGGUACAGUGUAGCCUUACUGAGAGAGGUUCCUUCAUUUCUAACAUUGACAAAAACCAUUUAGAAAAGCAACCCUGGCAAACACCUGAGGCGCAAGCAUGACAAGCAUCAGCUGAGCGGACGGAUCACCACAUACCUGUUGGUUCCUUCUCUAGCUUUUUGUUUGGCCCUUUCUUCCCCUGAUCUUUGGUUUUAUUUGCUUCCUCAUGCUGUCUCUGUUCAGCAAGAGAUUUGUUCAGCACUUGGGUGAUGACUGAAUCUCCUUCACCAACCAAAAACAUAUUCUUAAACUUGUUAUAUAACAUUGUAGACUUUUCCAUGAUAACUUGACUGACUUUGAACCGCCGUAUCUGAGAAAACAGUAGUCAUAGUUAUUGUCCCUAAUUGAUUGAAACUUUGGUGAACUGAGAAACGAUGUUAGCGUUGCAGGCGCUGAGGGCACUUACUUUCUUCAGGGUUGUGAUCAUCUCUGUGUGUUUCUGAGCUUGCUGCAUUGUUACCUGAAGUGAAGCGAGUUCAUCCAGGGCCUCUAUGCAUCUGUUCACGUCCUUCAUGACAAAACAGCAAUUUCAUAACUGUUAAUCACCAAGGCAGCCAUGGAAUCCACUUCUGACCAUCUCAAAAGCUCUUAAGGUGGUACAAAAAUGGCCAGGUAUUGUUCCUUUUAUCUUAAAACUUAUAUACUUAAGUCAUGUGAGAAAAUAUAUAAAGCUAUUAAAGCAGUGCAUUUUAAAUGAGAUUAAACACUUACUAGAUUAUCAAUUUUGAGUGAAUUUUUAAUUUCAGCAUGUAUCCUUUGAAGUCGAGAAUCCAUUGAUGUUUCUAUAAAUUGAAAUAUGUGAAAAACAGUAAAUAGUUUUUCUCCACACCAUGUCUCUGUACAGUCUAACAUAUAAAAGUAAUGGUGGUUAUAAAAAUUUUCUUCAUAAUCUUCGAGAAACCCAUAUAGAUGAACAGUGUAAAAAGUUAUGCUAAUUUUCUUUUCAUAUAUGGUUCCAAGAAGAAACAUGCAGCAUGAAAGCACAAAAUUACAGCAUGCUGCAUUUAUUCUGUCUCGGGUGACGCGAUCCUACUUGUACUUGUCACCUCUUAAACCCCUGCUUCACCUUGUGCCUUUAACUGCAAGGUGUUUAUCGGAGCCUCCAGCUCUUAGCUGGGCUGCACAACUGACACCAAAUAAGCUUUAAGAUAUUAGCAGGGUUACUUUAAUUGCUUAAAAUGCAAUUGAAUAUGGAAUCUGUUAGACUUGAAAACAUGUUUUGUAAGAUCUAAGAACAUGAAAUGGGAUUUCAAAAGUCAUUUUUAAAUUGUUCAAUUUUAAAGUCAGGAUCCCAUUUUGUACCCCUGGUUGGCUUGGAACUUGAGGCUCUCCCGGCUGUGCCUCCAUAAGUGCCGGGAUUCCAGGUAUGUGCCAUCUCAGCCAGCUCCCAUUAACCUUCUCUGUAAUUUUCCAUGUCUUAGAAAGUAAAACAACUAACCUCGCUUCUUCUCCACUUUCUUAACUUCUGGCUUCUUUCCUUCAUCUUUAUUCUGCCUAUCAAAUGUCAACACAAAUAUUUCAAAACACUGUAACUUUGUGACUGAGGUUAGCAGAUGCCCAUAUUCCCCUGUGUAAAGGUUUUAAAAAAUGUUCCUUAAAAACAAUCCAUCAGCCUACAAAAUAGGACGCUGACUAGUUUUUAGAACUGUGUAGCUCUACAGCAUUAACAUAAAGACAAAAAAAUUGCCAAAUUCAUCUUUCAGUGACAUACACAAUGGUAAAAGAAGAUCUACAAAUUAGUAAUGAAUUUUAAAGCAACUUUACUACGUUUUUUUAAAGCAUACUAAAGUAGACCAGCUGUACCCCACAUCUCCAAAGGACAGGUAAUUCAAGGGAUUUAGAAAUUGGCUUCAAUAGUAAAUAGACCUGCUUUAAGCUACUGUUGUUUGUUUUUGUUUUUGUUUUUUUAAGUUGUAGAGGAGGCCAUUGUUUUCAAGGUAAAUGACAUCCACUAAUGUUUACAUACCAUUUCAUAAGUGAAAAAGUACCAUUUUACUAAGAUUAACAAAAAAUAACCGUUUGAAUUAGAAAUUUUACUUUCUAGUACCUUGGCUUGGCAUUCAGGCCCUAUUAUGAACCAAUUAAAAUAGACAAGAACCAAAAAAAAAUACCUAAAAAUCAGGUUUUUUUUUUAAAAAAACUUUAUUUUAAAAUUUUCGUUACAAUUUCAGUUUUUUUACUUAACAAGUCUACUGUUUAAUCUCUCAGGAUU